RNAcentral lists this long non-coding RNA (351 nucleotides) under Bos taurus (domestic cattle). Its description in RNAcentral is "long non-coding RNA NONBTAT026540". The record is from RNAcentral. Lineage: Eukaryota; Metazoa; Chordata; Mammalia; Artiodactyla; Bovidae.
UUGUCUGAUUGAACCUUAUGAAGAAAUCAAUGGUAACCAAAAUUCUAUUUGAAAUAUGUAUCCACUAAAAUAAAAUUUGUUUAGUUUCAUUACCUGACAGGGCUUCAGAUUUUUUUAAAUCAAUGCCUAAGUGCAGUGCAGUUUAUUUAGCAGUUUUAUGUUGAGAGAUACUGAGAAGUUAAGGCAGUGAAAGAGAAAGUUUAGCAUUUCGAGAAAUUCACAUUGUUGGUAGGUUCAGAGGUGGGCAGGUAAUGGUAGAAAGUUGAUUGAUGUUGGAGUAGGUGAAAGGUGAUGUGAAGUUAUGGAUGCUUGGAAAGUAAAGGAUUUAUAAUAGACUGUUUAUAAUUUGGA